This 253-nucleotide ribosomal RNA is filed under the name uncultured bacterium. Its description in RNAcentral is "partial 16S ribosomal RNA". It matches the Rfam family "Bacterial small subunit ribosomal RNA", at positions 524 to 776 of the family's 1533-position model. The record is from RNAcentral.
UACAGAGGGGGCAAGCGUUAUUCGGAAUUAUUGGGCGUAAAGGGCGCGUAGGCGGCUUUGCAAGUGACGGGUGAAAUCCCUCGGCUUAACCGAGGAACUGCCUGUCAGACUGUGAGGCUUGAGACCGGGAGAGGUGAGUGGAAUUCCGAGUGUAGAGGUGAAAUUCGUAGAUAUUCGGAAGAACACCAGUGGCGAAGGCGGCUCACUGGACUGGUAUUGACGCUGAGGUGCGAAAGCGUGGGGAGCAAACAGG